This is a long non-coding RNA of Peromyscus maniculatus bairdii (prairie deer mouse), 440 nucleotides long. RefSeq lists it as uncharacterized. The record is from RefSeq and is a predicted model, not a curated record. NCBI's taxonomy places the organism in Eukaryota, Metazoa, Chordata, Mammalia, Rodentia, Cricetidae.
CUCAUUUGUUGUUGCCUAUGUUAUAGGUGGCUGCAGCCCAAGUCCAGUUCCUAUUCUCCAUGUUCUUUUUAAGAGCCCCACCUCUGCAGAUACCUCUUGAAGGACAUCAGUCUCAACAUCACAGAUGAAGCUGUGUUCCAAGGAAAGUUUUUGUUCAUAAAGCCAUUAAAACUCUUGGAUGAGUUUCUUCCUAUGAUGAUCACUCCGAAAGCCCAAUUUAGCAGUGAACAUUGGCUUGAAAUUCUGCUUUCAUUUUUUGAAUUGACUGUUGUUCAAGACUGAAUUGCAUACCAGCCAUGGCUUUCAGCUUGUGAAAACUCAAUAUAUCUACUGCCCUGCUGAGCCCGAAGAGGACAAGAGGGAUUAAUAUUUUAUCAUUUUAAAAUGCCUCCAAGACACUGUCUGACUCAUCCCCAUAACAGCAGUGGGAGACAGGAAGG